RNAcentral lists this long non-coding RNA (630 nucleotides) under Gallus gallus (chicken). Lineage: Eukaryota; Metazoa; Chordata; Aves; Galliformes; Phasianidae. The record is from RNAcentral.
AUGUGGAAAUGGCCAAAUAAGGCACAAUGUUAUCUGGUGUGAACUAAUCAGAGUGGGACAUGACAGCACGGUUAUCUAGGUAAAAAUGUAUAUAAGCUGUGUUUAGUAGUGAAUAAACGCCAUUUGCCUCACUUACUCCUGGGGUCUGGGUGAGCAUCUGGCCCCGACCUGGUAAAGGGUCGGUUUCGCCCAGCAGUAAGCCCUACAUGUGGACAGAGGACGAACACCGGACGAGCGAACGGAGACUACAUGCAACACAGCCCCAACGGGUAAAAUGUUCAGGCUUACUCUCCCAGAUGCCCUGAGUGAGUGCUGUAGAUCCUCCUAACAAAUACAUGCAUGAAACAUGGAAACAAGGAUGGGAAGACUGAUGGUUCUUCCUGCAGCAUGUUGGUUUCUAUGACUCCAAAAGGAGCUCAGACACUGAAGUGACAAAAAACUUGCUAAAAUCUGCUAAAAUAGAUCAGGGCAAUUAAAAGUAUGUCUCACUUUGGUCGGUGUGCUUAGGAUCCAUCAAGAAAAACAGAAAGCAGAGAUGGAUGCAUGUAUGCACAUUAAAUGGAAGUAUUAAGUAUUAGAUAAUAGCAGUGUAACUAAAAGAACUAAAUAAUAAAUUUCUGCUUCUUGAUU